This 253-nucleotide ribosomal RNA is filed under the name uncultured bacterium. Its description in RNAcentral is "partial 16S ribosomal RNA". It matches the Rfam family "Bacterial small subunit ribosomal RNA", at positions 524 to 776 of the family's 1533-position model. The record is from RNAcentral.
GACAGAGGGUGCAAACGUUGCUCGGAAUCACUGGGCGUAAAGGGCGCGUAGGCGGCCGAUCAAGUCAGGCGUGAAAUUCCCGGGCUCAACCUGGGGGCUGCGCUUGAUACUGAUUGGCUUGAAUGCGGGAGAGGAUAGUGGAAUUCCCAGUGUAGAGGUGAAAUUCGUAGAUAUUGGGAAGAACACCGGUGGCGAAGGCGGCUAUCUGGCCCGUAAUUGACGCUGAGGCGCGAAAGCGUGGGGAGCAAACAGG